GCCCUUCGCCCCCGAGAUUUCCUGGUGGUGCCCUGUUCUUGGUUAGGGAAAACUAACUCCAAAACUCGGUGUUAACACCUUGGACAACAACUCCCAGGAUCCCUAGGGACAUGAUCCGAUCCAAGAAAACGGAUUUAUAAAAUGCAGGGGACACUCACCUCUCUCUGAACUUUCCUUGCCUGCUUCUCCUCUAACUUCCGCUGUUUCUUUGCGCCAAUCUUCCCGGAAACCUGGGAUUCAGCCGGUUCGGCUCCAUCGUUUUCUUCUAGGUAUGGUUUAACAAUCGUUUUUGAAGAGGGAAAAGGAAACGGAGAAAGAUCAUCAGUGCUAGAAGGAAGUGAGGUUUGCAAAGCAGGAGGAGGGAGGAGGAGGAGGAGGAAGAGGAGGAGGAAGAUGACAACUAUGAUGGAGUCCUUGGUGCUCUCUGAAGUUGGUUGUUUCUGUUAGGGAAUGGGUAUUGCCUAACUGGUUGGGUUAGCAAUAUAUAUAAACCAUCAAUGCAUGUUUCAAAAUGUAAUGUAUAGCUUGAAGACUGUAAUGCUGUAUUGCAUCAUAUUGUAUUCUGAUUGGCUAGCUCUGUAGCCAAUGUACUUAAGAGGAAGCUUGACUCAUGGCUUAUUUUUCUUAUUACAUUAUUAUUGCUACCUCUGCUCCUCUCUGCCUCUUCUCUCGGCAUGAUCACUGCUUGAUCAUUGCUACUUGUUGUUUUCUACUGUUUUACUGAUUGUUUUACUGCUGUACUUGUUCCUGUUUGCAACUCAAAAAAGAACUGUUUUAUUGCAUAUGACUACAACAACUGGUAAGAAGACUUUGUUCUUGGAAUAUCCCUGGAUUGACAAUUUAACUAUCUUUAUCUGUGUAUGACCUGGAUUGUUUAUUGGACUUUGCUUUGUUUUUUCCUAAAAGUAAAAGAAUAUCACAACUCA
Non-coding RNA from Pantherophis guttatus, 926 nucleotides. NCBI's taxonomy places the organism in Eukaryota, Metazoa, Chordata, Lepidosauria, Squamata, Colubridae. The record is from RefSeq and is a predicted model, not a curated record.